UAUACUACGAAAUACACAAAACUAGGUUUAUGGAAUCAUUCAUAACGACGCACUAAGUCUCUUGUAGUUGAAAGUCCUGGUACAACGAAAUACACAAAACUAGGUUGAUGGAAUCGUUCAUGAAUAUGCACUAACUGAGUUUUAGUUCCAAAGUCUGUAUCCUUCGAAAUACACAAAACUAGGUUUAUAGAAUCAUUCAUAAUGACGCACUAAGUCUCUUGUAGUUCAAAGUCUUGGUACAACGAAAUACACAAAACUAGGUUUCGGGAAUCGUUCAUAAAAUGACACUGUUGUAGUUCCAAAGUCGGUAUACAACGAAAUACACAUGACUAGGUUUAUGGAAAAGUUCAAAGAAGCCAAUAACUCUGUUGUAGUUCCAAAGUCCAGAUACAA
Molecule: long non-coding RNA, 393 nt
Filed under: Cricetulus griseus (Chinese hamster)
Lineage: Eukaryota; Metazoa; Chordata; Mammalia; Rodentia; Cricetidae
Description: lncRNA (ENSCGRG00015031645.1)
Source: RNAcentral